Molecule: long non-coding RNA, 520 nt
Filed under: Salvia miltiorrhiza (redroot sage)
Lineage: Eukaryota; Viridiplantae; Streptophyta; Magnoliopsida; Lamiales; Lamiaceae
Description: long non-coding RNA (SMIL_LNC002964)
Source: RNAcentral
UUCAGCCUCAACGAGGCCUUCGCCGCCUUGGAUAGGCCCUGGUACCAUGGCUUCGAAUCGUCGUCCGCGGACACAUAGAAUCUCGCCGGAAUCAACUCAAUCAAAUGGUCGAAAAACUCACUUUGAGAAUGAAUAAUCGAUGUGAGGUCUUCGACGGCGGCGCAAUUUUGCUUUUGCUUCUUCUUCGCCAUCCUUCGCAUAGGUUUAAUUAGAAUUGCGGUGUAUUUAGGGUUAUCGAAGGCUGGUACUUUUUUUUUUUUUUUUCUCUUUUGAGAACAAGGGUGGUACUUAUUCGUGUGUUGGAAAAUGUAUUUUAUUUCCUUUUAUUUUUGAGUUGGCCGCAUGGGUGCGCCGGGUCCGAUCCGAUCCGCAUCAAAUAUUUAUAUUUCGGAGUUUUGUAAAUAAAGUAUAUACUCCUUCCGUCUCACUCCAAUAAGCUCACUUCUUUUGGACAGAGAGAUUAAGAAAACUUAUUUUUUUAGUAGAAAAGUAGUAGUAAAGUGGUGUGGUCCACACCAAU